CAUGUUAUUGUUCCUCCUGUCACACUAGACAACUCAAGGUAGGUCUUCGGCAUCAAUAGAACCAUUCAAGUCUAUAGAAAUACUAAAUUUUCACUUUGUAAACAACUAACGCACAGCUUUAUAAAAUUUAACAUCUUCAAACCGAGUUGACCCUAUUCCCUUCAACAAUUGAAAUACAGUUACAAAGCUAAUACAUUAUAUUGCACAAUUUGUUUAGUUUCUGCUUUGCUAGAUUUCAUACUUUUGAGGAAGUAAAGUAUAGAUUCAUAUUAUGAGACAUGUACAGAUACAACUUCUACAAUAAUAAACUUUUUUUUGACAAUGC
Non-coding RNA from Biomphalaria pfeifferi, 325 nucleotides. The record is from the annotation of a GenBank genome assembly. Lineage: Eukaryota; Metazoa; Mollusca; Gastropoda; Planorbidae.